RNAcentral lists this ribosomal RNA (710 nucleotides) under uncultured Enterobacteriaceae bacterium. RNAcentral's name for it is "bacterial SSU rRNA". It matches the Rfam family "Bacterial small subunit ribosomal RNA", at positions 791 to 1502 of the family's 1533-position model. Lineage: Bacteria; Pseudomonadati; Pseudomonadota; Gammaproteobacteria; Enterobacterales; Enterobacteriaceae. The record is from RNAcentral.
UAGUCACGCUGUAAACGAUGUCGAUUUGGAGUUUGGGGGCAUGACCCUUGGGCUCCGGAGCUAACGCGUUGAAUCGACCGCUGGGGAGUACGGCCGCAAGGUUAAAACUCAAAUGAAUUGACGGGGGCCCGCACAAGCGGUGGAGCAUGUGGUUUAAUUCGAUGCAACGCGAAGAACCUUACCUGGUCUUGACAUCCAUAGAAUCUUUCAGAGAUGAGAGAGUGCCUUCGGGAGCUAUGAGACAGGUGCUGCAUGGCUGUCGUCAGCUCGUGUUGUGAAAUGUUGGGUUAAGUCCCGCAACGAGCGCAACCCCUAUCCUUUGUUGCCAGCACGUAAUGGUGGGAACUCAAAGGAGACUGCCGUUGAUAAAGCGGAGGAAGGUGGGGACGACGUCAAGUCAUCAUGGCCCUUACGACCAGGGCUACACACGUGCUACAAUGGCGUAUACAAAGGGAUGCGAAGGUGCGAACUGGAGCGGACCUCACAAAGUACGUCUAAGUCCGGAUUGGAGUCUGCAACUCGACUCCAUGAAGUCGGAAUCGCUAGUAAUCGUGAAUCAGAAUGUCACGGUGAAUACGUUCCCGGGCCUUGUACACACCGCCCGUCACACCAUGGGAGUGGGUUGCACCAGAAGUAGAUAGCUUAACCUUCGGGAGGGCGUUUACCACGGUGUGGUUCAUGACUGGGGUGAAGUCGUAACAAGGUAACCA